RNAcentral lists this long non-coding RNA (8245 nucleotides) under Triticum aestivum (bread wheat). RNAcentral's name for it is "long non-coding RNA (TAES_LNC024470)". The record is from RNAcentral. Lineage: Eukaryota; Viridiplantae; Streptophyta; Magnoliopsida; Poales; Poaceae.
GCUUCUUCUCUCUCUUUGGAUCUCAAUACCAUGUUCUCCUCGAUCUUCUUGGAGAUCUAUUGUGACUCCCGGAUAAUCAAGCUACAGUAAUUCUCUGCUAAUGAUGCCACAUCACUUCGAUUACUGUUGCUAAUCUCGCGUUAGUUCAAAACCGAUUCAAAAAUCAAUUCAAAAUAUGGAAAACAAACAAAUGUCUUCAAACAUUGAAACAAAAAUGUUCGGUUUGUGCCGAAUAUUACAAAGGUAAUUAUAGUAAAGAAAACACAAAUUUAUAAAAUACGUAAAUGCCCUAAGGUGAAUUAAAAUAGUAAAAGAAAAUAAAUAAAAGAAAAAGAAUAAAAACAGAAAAACAAAAGACAAAAAAAUAAUAAUAGAAGAGAACCCCCCGGGCUUCGACCCAACUUACCACAGGCCCAACUGGGCCAACCCACCAGGCCUAGCCGGCCACUCCCCCACUUCCCCUUAUCCCUGGACCCCGAAACCCUAUCCACCCCACCGACACCCCACGUUCCCCACUCCUCGCACCCACUCCCCCCCGCUUGAUCUGGAUCGGGGCGCGACGCCCCGACCCCGCUGCCCGACGCCGCACCACUGCCGUUGCCGUCACCGCCUCGCCAAAGCGCUCCCUCACCGGUCUGCCUCCCCCUACGCACGUCGUCGCCGUCGUCCUCCUCGAGCCCGCUACCACUCCCCUACAGCGUCCGUGAGCACCUCCCUCUCUCCCCGUCUGCGUCGCCCGUUCCGGCCACCGCACCCGACGCUCCCCACGAGCGCCCCGCCCGCGGCGCGCACCGCUGCCCCUGACCGCGCUUGACCUUUCCCCUGCUCCGCCCCGCCUGCUGCCUUCCUCCGCCCCGCUUCCUGUGCGUCCGCUGCAUCGCCGACCUGCGCGGCCGUCACCUCUACAGCAUGCUCCCUGCGCCCGCACGCGUUGCUCCUCCCCGCUCGCCAUGUGUCGCGCCGAGGAGCCUCCGCCCCUCUCGCCGCGGCCACGCGCGCCCGUCAUCCGCCUCCGGCCGCCCUGCUGCAUGUCGGCAGCCGCGGCCCUCCCCAUGCUCCGCCCGGUCGNNNNNNNNNNNNNNNNNNNNNNNNNNNNNNNNNNNNNNNNNNNNNNNNNNNNNNNNNNNNNNNNNNNNNNNNNNNNNNNNNNNNNNNNNNNNNNNNNNNNNNNNNNNNNNNNNNNNNNNNNNNNNNNNNNNNNNNNNNNNNNNNNNNNNNNNNNNNNNNNNNNNNNNNNNNNNNNNNNNNNNNNNNNNNNNNNNNNNNNNNNNNNNNNNNNNNNNNNNNNNNNNNNNNNNNNNNNNNNNNNNNNNNNNNNNNNNNNNNNNNNNNNNNGGAGCUCAACACCGGCGCGCUGGCGCCCGCGCCAGCCAGCCGCCCCUUGUUGCCCAGUCGGGUGCGCCCCCGCGGGCUAGCGCCCGUUCGGGCUGUGCCCAUUAGCGCCCGUGCCCGCUAUGGCCUCUGGGCCACUGCCAAACGGGGCCCACUGCCCAGAACAUUAAAAAAAGAAACGAACAUGAAAUUGGUAAAAUUAAUAAUUAAUUAAUCAAUUAAUUAGUGAAUUAAUUAAGUUGAUUAACUGUUUAACCAAACUAACUAAGAUUAGUUAACCUAAUCAAUUAGUUAAACUAAUUAACCCCGUUUAGCUAACUCGAGUCUAUGACCAGUGGGACCCACGUGUCAGUUUGACCAGUCAACGGUCAGAGUUGACUGCUGAUGUCAUGCUGACAUCAUAAAUGCAAUUUCGAAUUAAAAUAAUCUGUUAAUUCUAGAAAAUGAUUUAAAACUUUAAAAAUUAAUAUAAAAUAAUCCGUAACUCGGAUGGAAAAACUUUGUCCAUGAAAGUUGCUCAGAACAACGAGACGAAUCUGGUUACACUGCCCGUUCGUCCGCCACACAUACCUAGCAUAGCAAACACGCAACUUUCCCCCUCCGGUUCAUCUGUCCGAAAACGCGGAACACCGGGGAUACUUUCCCGGAUGUUUCCCCCUUCGCCGGUAUCACCUACCACUACGUUAGGUCACCCAUAGCACCGCAUAUUGCCGUGUCUUGCUUUGUGUUACAUUUGAUUGCUCUGUUAUUUAUUGUGUUCCUCCUUCGUUACUUCUUUCCGGUAGACUCUGAGACCGGUGCCGAUGUCCGUGUGUUCGACUACACCGAAGAUGACCCCUCCUUCUUGCCAGAGCAACCAGGCAAGCCCCCCCCCUUGAUCACCAGAUAUCGCCUACCCUUCUCUAUACUGCUUGCAUUAGAGUAGUGUAGCAUGUUACUGAUUUCCGUUAAUCCUAUUCUGCUGCAUAGCCUGUCAUUGUUGCUACAGUUGUUACCCUUACCUGCAAUCCUAAAUGCUUAGUACAGGAUGCUAGUAUUCCAUUAGUGGCCCUACACUCUUGUCCGUCUGCCUUGCUAUACUACUGGGCCGUGAUCACUUCGGGAGGUGAUCACGAGCAUAUGCUAUAUGCUAUAUACUGUUUCAUUACUUAUGAUACUGUUCGGAGAUGGGGGCUGAAGGGGAAGGUGGCUCCAUCCCGGUAGAGGUGGGCCUGGGUUCCCGACGGCCCCCCGACUGUUAAUUUGUGGCGGAGCGAUAGGGCAGGUUGAGACCACCUAGGAGAGAGGUGGUCUGGCCCUGGUCGGCGUCCGCGGAUACUUAAAAAUAACACGCUUAACGAGUUCUUGGUAUUUGAUCUGAGUCUGGCCAUUUGGUCUAUACGCACUAACUAACUACGUGGGAAAGUUAUGGGCACUCGACGUCGUGGUAUCAGCCGAAGCCUUCAUGACGUCAGCGACUGAGUGGCGCGCGCCGGAUUGGACUGGAACGCCUGCUAGGCUAGGUCUGCUUCCAGCCGCGUUCGCAAUGUGCAGGUGUGUAAUGGGCGAUGGGCCCAGACCCCUGCUCCAUAGGAUUUAGACCGGCGUGCGGACCUCUCUGUGGUGCCUAGGUGGGGCUGCGACGUGUUGAUCUUCUGCGGCCGGGCAUGACCCAGAAAAGUGUAUCCGGCCAAAUGGGAUUGAGCGUGUUGGGUUAUGUGGUGCACCCCUGCAGGGAAGUUUAUCUAUUCGAAUAGCCGUGAUCUUCGGUAACAGGACGACUUGGAGUUGUACCUUGACCUUAUGACAACUAGAACCGGAUACUUAAUAAAACACACCUUCCAUGUGCCAGAUAUAACCCGGUGAUCGCUCUCUAACAGGGCGACGAGGAGGGGAUCGCCGGGUAGGAUUAUGUUAUGCGAUGCUACUUGGUGAACUUACCACCUACUCUCUCCUACAUGCUGCAAGAUGGAGGUGGCCAGAAGCGUAGUCUUCGACAGGAUUAGCUAUCCCCCUCUUAUUCUGGCAUUCUGCAGUUCAGUCCACCGAUAUGGCCCUUUACACAUAUACCCAUGAAUAGGUAGUGUAGCUCCUUGCUUGCGAGUACUUUGGAUGAGUACGCACGGUUGCUUUACUUCCUCUUUUCCCCUUUUCCCCUCUACCUGGUUGUCGCAACUAGAUGCUGGAGCCCAGGAGCCAGACGCCACCAAUGACGACAACUCCUACUACACCGCGGGUGCCUACUACUCCUUGCAGGCCACCGACGACGACCAGGAGUAGUUUACGAGGAUCCCAGGCAGGAGGCAUGCGCCUCUUUCGAUCUGUAUCCUAGUUUGUGCUAGGCUUCUUAAGGCAAACUUGUUUAACUUAUGUCUGUACUCAGAUAUUGUUGCUUCCGCUGACUCGUCUAUGAUCGAGCAAUUGUAUUCGAGCCCUCAAGGCCCCUGGCUUGUAUUAUGAUGCUUGUAUGACUUAUUUUAUUUUUAGAGUUGUGUUGUGAUAACUUCCCGUGAGUCCCUGAUCUUGAUCGUACACGUUUGUGUGUAUGAUUAGUGUACGAUUGAAUCAGGGGCGUCACAAGUUGGUAUCAGAGCCGACUGCCUGUAGGAAUCCCCCUUCCACACUCCUUGGCCGAAGUCGAGUCUAGACAUUGCAAAAACUUUUACUAACAUUGCUGUGUGUCCCAUGGGCCCACGUCGCCAUUGGGUUGUAUUAGGAUCUUUUACUCCUCGAUCUUUACUCCAGGAUUCAGAACUCUCUUCUAUUCGGGUUAAACGAUUUUUACUAAAAUCUAACUUUAGGUUCUCAAAAAUACUUUCUCCCGGAGAGCCCCUUCAGUCCAGAUGAUUGCCGGCUGCACCAGAAGAUUUCGAAGAUACUCUCCGAUAUUCUCCCGAGACCUUGUGCCCGUUGCUUUUGCAAUUCCCUUCCACCGAAAUAUCCCUAUGGAUAAAUACUUACACCUGUCAUGCUUACUUUUAUUCCCAGUCGAUCUUGUUAUUACAAGAUACCCCGAGAAUAUUUUGUGCCUACUGCCUUGCAGUUCUUUGCCACCUGAAUACCCCUAAGAAUAAUUUCUCGCACUUUCUGAGUAUCCGGUCAUCCCAAGUUGUUCAGGUGUUUCACAAAAGUCUUUGAAAUACUAUUCAAUCCUCCGAAAAUCCUUAGCAGCUUUAUUACUCUGCAAAUACUUGUCUACUUGCAUUAUGGAUGCUUCCCAUAUAUCUGGCAAUAUACAUUAGUCUCCUUUGGCACCGUCAUUUUGAUCCUAUUGAUUCAACAUGAGUGCGAAUGCACUCAAUUAUCAGUUGAUCCUUUUAAAUUAUCUUUUUGGCUCAGACAUCAUUUUAAACAUGAGCUGGAUCUCGAGCAAUGAAAUUGACAUCGAUUGUACCCUUAAACCUACUCAACUUAUCCAUCCUUGAUCAGAGUGUUUGCUUCUGAUCCCUUGAUUUGGAACUUAUAAUUCCUUUGAAUUAGUCAGUUGUUUUGAUAAUCCAAUCUCCUUGCUUUCUUUCUUCUUCUGGUUGAGUACCGAUGCUCACAUCAGAUCCCUUGUGGGACACCAGAACUUUUAUUGGAUUUUAUCCGACGACGUCCUUCAUAUUCAAUAACUUUGUGAGUCUUUUCUCGGAUACAUAAUGCCAUUGGUAAAUCCUAUUCUUUGAUUUGGCCAACCAUGCUCUGCUUUUGAGCUGGUGAUAUUUACUCUUGAAGCUUGUGGUAUAUGUUUCUAAGAUACCCCGAUGGGUUGAACCUAUGCCUUCUUUAAUUUGUGUGAGCCCGAAAAGUUUUCACGGGUCAUCUUCCUCUGGUAAUUCGCUAGGUAGGUUUUCACACUCAAAUCAUUUUUAUAUAAGAGCAGUGAAUGGAAGGUUAUACAUUGAAGAAGUGGGAGUCGACCUUGAACUUGUGUUCAUGCCCAUGGACGCGAUGUAGAUCCUAUCAUGGAAGCUUCUUGUAAUAAUAACUAUUGCCUUGAUACAAUAUCAUCUGGUAUCUGUGAAUUGAUCCUUUGCAAUCGUGGUUCCGACCAUAUUUUCCACUUGAUCCCAUUUCUUAAGCAAGUGAAAACACUUGUCUUCUGUGAAUCAAUACAUCUCCGCAACCCCUAGGUCGAUCUUCCUUCGAAUAAUGCCCUCCAGUAUCUCGAGAAUAUCAAAGAACUGUGUUGCUUCUUAUGAGUUCUUCAUCAAGUACUACAUUCUCACUGAUUCCAAAUUUUCACAGGCUCUGAGUUAUUAAACACUCAAAGACAUCGAUAACUGAAUCGAGUUCGCACCGCGAUUAAACAACUCUUGGUAACCUUCAUUACUUACAAAUUUAAUACUCGAUCACAUCGUUCCUAGCCUAAUUGGCUAUAUCAUUAUCGUGCUGAAUUUAACUAUGCUACCUGGUCCUUAUUCCCCGAGCAUAACUUUCGGCGAUGAGCUAAGCUUACGUCGAUCUUCCUCGUCUUAUCGUUUCACCUCGAACAACAAGCUUGAUUCCGAGUUGGUGUCGUAUCCAUAGACCCAAUAAUCUUUCACUGCAUCAGUCCUUUUGCUUGAUGCUGUCGUUGUUCGAUUGCUUCUUCGUGGAGCCUCUCGACAAAAUUUGUCAUGAUCAUUAUCAACAUCUUGACUCCUUCCUGGAUAUCAAUUGAAUUCAUGAUGAGAAACACCAUCCUUGCCUCUCAAGGAUUUGUGUUAUCAUGAACAACAUUAUUGCCUUCCCUCCAACACAAACUUGUUCAUGUUAUGGAGCUCCUUCUAUCCAGAAUUUGUUCUUUACCUUGGAGUAUUACCAUCUUUUAUGUCAAGAAUGUCAUGAGAAUUUCACCACCUCUUAAGAAUUCUUGGUACAGGUGAUACUUCUUGCCAUAUUCGUUCACUCCUUGCCAUAUCCGUUCACUUCUAGCAACCCUAUUGCUUUGAAGAUUAAUGGUCGAUGUUUCAUUCUAAGUCUAUUGCUUAUUGAAUCAUCAUUCAAACAUUGAUCAUGCUACCUAGUCCAGAUUUUCGGGUGCACCCUUCUAUCAUUGUUAAAUUGUGUAUGUUUUCCUCGAGCAUACAUCAUUAUAUCAUUUGAUCCGACAAAUGUUAUCUCCUUGUUCACAUAAUUGUGGAAAUCCAUCCUUUGGAAAUCUCGAUGAUUUGUCGCUGAGUCCAUCAGCCACCUCCUCAUCUUCUCCUUGGUUUACUGAUGAACUCUUGUUUCGAAACUCACUUCCAUAGUUCAUUUCCCGAGAAUCUUAUGCCGACUUCUUGUCAAUUUGUGUCGCACCUUUUUAUCUCAGGUUCCUGAGUCUGAGGUAUCCUGACACCAAUCAGAUCUGAAUCUCAGUCAGAUAUGAUGGUUGGAACAUAUUUCCAAGAGUUAUAACAUUGGUCUUUAUAUGACCCGGUAAGGUGAUGUCAUGCCUAGCACACCUGGCUGGAGGACCUAUUGUUAUAGUUUCCUUUUGGCAAGGUUAGUCAUUCUUCCGUGAGGAAAUUGUAAGACUUAUUCUAUAAGUUGUUCCUGAUGGAUCCUUUUUGUUUCGAAAGUCUGAUCUUCGCUUGUUGACCAUGUCAAUGCUAUCUCAAAGCAUGUCUAUGGUACUCCGAUUUUCAACAGGAACAUUUGAAGCCCAAUGUUUAAUGUUUCCUGCUCAAUUAUCCAAACACCGUUGUAUGGGUAAUGUCAUGAAAAUUCUCUCCCGUACCUAAAGAGUUAUCUACUUCUAUCCUGUCACGGAUAUCAUGCUCUGCUUGUCCUUGGGAAGGAUAUAUCCCUGAAACAUGUGUUAGACACAUUUACCUUUCCAUUGUUCUGUUUAAUCUGAUGGUCACCUUUUCGUUUUCAUUGAUUUGUUUAACCUUUCUGGUGAUCUAUAUGAUCUAAGCAGUAAUUUUCUCCUGCUUAUGUAAACACCUUGGUGUACAACCGUGUCAGUAAGACCCUGUUGCAUUUGUUGAUGGCAUUUCGGUAACCACCGAUGUGCGAGAACUUUGCCUAUUGGUCCGCCUCGUUUAACGAGCAGGAAAAUGGUUCUCUUCGUCCCUCGCCCUUGGUACCAACGAUGCUGCCAACAUAACUGACCGGUUAUUCUCUGACAUGCCUUGCUUACAUGAUCGUGCAAGACGUCACCCCUCUUUCUACUUUUAACCCACAUGGUGGGCCCAUAACCCACAGUUCCACAGGAUCAAAACCUGACUUUCCUAUACCCCCUGUUUCCAAACUUAUUCCUCGUGCUUGGCUUCGUAUUUAAUUCACGGGCCACCUUCCUAGUGCUCUAUUCUGGUAUCAGACGCAAUACUUACUCUCGCUGCUCUGAACCCCUUUCUCACUCUGGUUCAGACUUCGAUCAACUAUCUAUCCGCUUGGAACCUCUUAUUGUACCUUCGUACCUUACUCUCGAUAUUUUCUUAAGUUUCAAUUCGAGAGUUACUUUCCGUCACCUUCCCCGAUGUUAUCGACCAGGUAGUCAACCUUGCAGAGGUCCGUUCUCCCGGAAUGCCCCCUUUUAUUCUUUCGUAAGUACGAUGGAGUUCCCGAAGAAAGGAUGAUGACUUCAUCAUGAUGAUCUGAAGCAAAGAAAUGAAGACAUCAACGUAAUGGAUCAACUUCUUCAAGAAGAGCAACCAAGACCGAGAAGACUCGCUAGAAUUUCGUAACCAGAACCUCCUCCCUUAUGCAGCUUAAAUCUCGGGACGAGAUUUCUUGUAGUGGAGGAGAAUUGCGACGCCCGGAUAAUCAAGCUACAGUAAUUCUCUGCUAAUGAUGCCACGUCACUUCGAUUACUGUUGCUAAUCUCGCGUUAGUCCAAAACCGAUUCAAAAAUCAAUUCAAGAUAUGGCAAACAAACAAAUGUCUUCAAACAUUGAAACAAAAUUGUUUGGUUUGUGCCGAAUAUUACAAAGGUAAUUAUAGUAAAGAAAACACAAAUUUAUAAAAUACUUAAAUGCCCUAA